CCUCCUUUUUGGGGCAGAUGGCAGCGCCCUGUCGCUGGCCCACAGACCUCGUGGAUGCCGCAUAGAAUGGCCCGAAGUAAACACGGGGUUCUUUCCCAUAAGGGCCCCGUCCAGGGCUGAGUCACCUUCUCCCCUGUAGUCUUUGCGGGAGUUUAAAGGAAACAAACCACUCACCUGCUGCAAGUGCUUAGCAUUGUGCUAGAAUAAUUACAGAAGCUAUCUCAAGCUGAGCGUCAUGGUGCACGCCUGUAAUCCCAGCUCCUUCGGAGGCUGAGACGUGAGGAUCUCUUGAGCCCAGGAGAGAUCACAACACUGCAUUCCAGCCUGGGUGACAAGAGCUGAAGAAGCUGGCAGCUCCCACAGAAGCCUGCUCUUCUUAGCCAAAGGACCUGAAAAAGAGAAGCCUAGUAAGACAGAAAACCUUUAGACAAUAACUUCUACGCUCGCGCCAAACAUGGCAGAAAAAACCGUAGCUGCAACCCAUCCACCUGAGUGGAAGCCAAGUGGGAAACUUAGAUUUCCACUUUUGCCAGACUAUAAUGAGGUGUCCCGUGCCACCCACCACCACCUUGCCACCACCAGUGUGGUGCCAGAGGAAGCCUAGUGAAAAGGCAGGACUUUGACAACCACUCAAAGUCAUGAGGUGGAGGCAACACACCCUGCCUCUGUGAUGUCAGAGAGGUCCACGUCAGGAGCAGACUGAGGCCCUCCCUGUCAGGCAGACAUUCGUGGAGGCUUAGUGAAGACCUGGAACACCCAUCUCCACCCAGAAGUAAUGAAGAGCACCUCCAACAGAGGCCAAGUAGGCCCGAAGAGUACAGCACCCAACUGGACUUCUACCCCCAGCCAGCAGUAACGUGCUGACCAGCCCCACACCCCCACCCUCCUUGCUGGAGCAUUAUCAAAGAAACCAAUUAAAAAAGAAUGUUUCAAUAAGAUCCAUGUGCUGUCCUUUAAAGCACAAAGUUUUGUAUUUUGGCCAGGCGUGGUGGCUUAUGCCUGUAAUCCCAGCACUUUGAGAGGCCAGGGUGGGAGGACUGCUUAAGCCCAGGGGUUUGAGACCAACCUAGGCAACAUGG
Long non-coding RNA from Piliocolobus tephrosceles (Ugandan red Colobus), 1079 nucleotides. RefSeq lists it as uncharacterized. The record is from RefSeq and is a predicted model, not a curated record. The transcript has 3 exons. Lineage: Eukaryota; Metazoa; Chordata; Mammalia; Primates; Cercopithecidae.